GCUGGCUGUGGGUGGCAGUGAUUCCUCCCUCUCACCUAUAAACAUUUGAGGGAUCUUGAGUGAAUGAUUCAAUCUCUGGAGACAGAAAAAAAAAUUCAGCGGGCUCCAAACUUGCUCUCAGCAGCUAUGCAAACAUCUACUGAGAAAUCAUCCCCUCUUCUUACCUGUAAUUACUCUUCAAUGUGAUAAUUUAAUCUUUUCAUUUAAAAAAGCUUCAGUUUUAAAUCUCUCUUAUUUGUAUUAUUUUUCAAGAUACUAAAUACAUACAGAUAUUUUUAUUACUCAGUUCAGGUUCAGGAACAAAGAAAAUAUUGAAAAUCUGUGAUCUAUGAAAAUCUAUGAUAUACUACAAAAAGUAGGAGAUGGAAUAUGAAGGAUCUAUUUUUAUGUUCAUCAAGAAAUAUUUUUCUAAAAGAUUCCUUACCUUGCCAUCACUUGUACUCAAAGGUCCUCCCCGUUGCCAUGUCGGAAAUGGCACUCCUGGCCAUAUGGGUGCAGCCGGGCACCCCAUUUCUGCAUCAGAUGUGAUGAAGGGAGGCUUCCAAGUAUGAGCAACAGUGCGGCAAGGUAAUUGGCAGAGGCAUGCUCUCUCAAGAGCAACUGUGACGGAUGCAAAAGGUAUAUCAUCAGGACCCUCCAGAUGCUCAGAACUACCUGUCCAUUGUCCUCCUGCUAGGACCAUGGACUGCAUCAGGUCAUUCAUGGCUGGGAUGCAAAUGAAAGCAAAUGAAUCAGCAUGGUUUAAUGUUUAAAAAAUUAUUUUGCACUGUAAAAUGCUUCACAUUUAUUUAAGCAUCAACACGUACUGAAAGCUAUAGUCCACAAGUCCAUAUGUGUUACAACAUGCAACUGGCUGAAUGAAUGAAAAGUGUUAAAAAGCCAAAGCCUUCUUGUAGAGAUGACUGCAAUUGGUUUUUAUUAGCUACAACCGCCAUGCUUGUGCUGGAGUGCUAUAUAAUAGAUAAAUAGAUGUUAGAAGCUCUGAUAUGUUUGCAAUGACAAAAUGGAAUGAACAAGAUAAGAUGAAUAGAAGUGCUAAUACAAAGUCAGUGUUGGUAAUGAUAAGGGGUUCUUCAAUGCAGGCUUCUGCAGGAAUAGACUAUUUAGCAUGACACUCAAUAAAGGUUCUGAAAUAAAUGCAUCCUAAGACAGGUAUCUUUACAUACUGUCUCCCCCAACUUCUUAAAGAACAUUUCCCUAAAGAAUAAAUGACAAAAAUAUCUGUCCCCCUCCCUUCUGUAUCUUUAAAUGAAAAAUAUUUAUAAGAUACAAUUUAUCUUUGCACUGAGUUUUCACCAAACAACUUUACAGAUAUGUAUUUGUUCUUAUAUAAGUGAUAACUAAGAAUGGAAAUCAACAUUUGCAAAUGUCUUGAGGGUAUAUUAUUAUAUGUACACAUAUACUAUCCACCUGUAUUCAGAUGGACAUAAUUUGUACAAUUUGAACAUAUAAUAAAUGUGAAUUCAAUUUA
Molecule: long non-coding RNA, 1471 nt
Organism: Sceloporus undulatus (fence lizard)
Lineage: Eukaryota; Metazoa; Chordata; Lepidosauria; Squamata; Phrynosomatidae
Exons: 3
Source: RefSeq, a predicted model, not a curated record